Long non-coding RNA from Ochotona princeps (American pika), 325 nucleotides. RefSeq lists it as uncharacterized. The transcript has 3 exons. Lineage: Eukaryota; Metazoa; Chordata; Mammalia; Lagomorpha; Ochotonidae. The record is from RefSeq and is a predicted model, not a curated record.
UGCAAGAGGCCACAUGGUUAAGGAUUUACCCAUGGUCCCAGAGAAAAGUUAUAAACCCAGUGAAAGAAGAGAAGCAAGACUAAUGUGUGAGACAAACAGCCACCACUGUCCUAGAGAAGGCAAGAAACCGCUCUCUUGGAAGCAAUACUCAAGAUGCUCACCUCUCACAGGAUGGAAAGAGCCAGCAGGUUUGCCUCCUUUGGCUUUCCAGGAUUUAAGAAGAAAAGGGUAGUUCUUAGGAAAAACACAGAAAAUGAAUCCCAGCUUCGGUCCUGUGAACAGCACUAAUGAACACUGAGUUUCUACCUUACCUUAUUUUUAAUGA